Rhodamnia argentea is the source of this 195-nucleotide long non-coding RNA. RefSeq lists it as uncharacterized. The record is from RefSeq and is a predicted model, not a curated record. The transcript is spliced from 3 exons. Lineage: Eukaryota; Viridiplantae; Streptophyta; Magnoliopsida; Myrtales; Myrtaceae.
GUGGCUGAACAGCCCUUUGUCAGAUUCGUCAUGCUUGUCCUUUCCGCCUCCCAUUGUUUCAGAAAACCAAGGUCUGAUUCACUGCCAGGAGAAACGAUAUCUCUUAAGAUGAAGUAGAAACUACAAACACAAGAAAUACCACCUAAGCAGAACAUCAGCGAAUUAUUGGCAGUUUGAUAAUCAAAAUCCCCAGAU